Molecule: ribosomal RNA, 511 nt
Filed under: uncultured bacterium
Lineage: Bacteria
Description: bacterial SSU rRNA
Rfam family: Bacterial small subunit ribosomal RNA
Source: RNAcentral
GAUGAACGCUAGCGGCAGGCCUAACACAUGCAAGUCGAGGGGCAGCAUAGGGUAGCAAUACUCUGAUGGCGACCGGCAAACGGGUGAGUAACGCGUAUGCAACCUACCCUGUACAGGGGGAUAACCCGGAGAAAUUCGGACUAAUAUCCCGUAAUAAUAUCCGGAGGCAUCUUUGGAUAUUUAAAGUUCCGACGGUACGGGAUGGGCAUGCGUAACAUUAACUGGUUGGUAAGGUAACGGCUUACCAAGGCUAUGAUGUUUAGGGGUCCUGAGAGGGUGGUCCCCCACACUGGUACUGAGACACGGACCAGACUCCUACGGAAGGCAGCAGUGAGGAAUAUUGGUCAAUGGGCGCAAGCCUGAACCAGCCAUCCCGCGUGCAGGAAGACGGCCCUAUGGGUUGUAAACUGCUUUUCCAGGGAGAGAAACUUACGCACGUGUUGCGUGACUGACGGUACCCUGGGAAUAAGCAUCGGCUAACUCCGUGCCAGCAGCCGCGGUAAAACGUCUA